RNAcentral lists this ribosomal RNA (233 nucleotides) under uncultured bacterium. Its description in RNAcentral is "partial 16S ribosomal RNA". It matches the Rfam family "Bacterial small subunit ribosomal RNA", at positions 103 to 334 of the family's 1533-position model. The record is from RNAcentral.
CGGGUGAGUAACGCGUAAUCAACCUGCCUCAGAGGGGGGACGAACAGUUGGAAACGACUGCUAAUACCGCAUAAGCCCACGGCUCGGCAUCGAGCAGAGGGAAAAGGAGUGAUCCGCUUUGAGAUGGCCUCGCGUCCGAUUAGCUAGUUGGUGAGGUAACGGCCCACCAAGGCGACGAUCGGUAGCCGGACUGAGAGGUUGAACGGCCACAUUGGGACUGAGACACGGCCCAG